GUGCCUAACACAUGCAAGUCGAGCGAUCUUCUUCGGAAGAGAGCGGCGGACGGGUGAGUAACGCGUGGGUAACCUGCCCUGUACACACGGAUAACAUACCGAAAGGUAUGCUAAUACGGGAUAACAUAAGAAAUUCGCAUGUUUUUCUUAUCAAAGCUCCGGCGGUACAGGAUGGACCCGCGUCUGAUUAGCUAGUUGGUGAGGUAACGGCUCACCAAGGCGACGAUCAGUAGCCGACCUGAGAGGGCGAUCGGCCACAUUGGAACUGAGACACGGUCCAAACUCCUACGGGAGGCAGCAGUGGGGAAUAUUGCACAAUGGGCGAAAGCCUGAUGCAGCAACGCCGCGUGAGCGAUGAAGGCCUUCGGGUCGUAAAGCUCUGUCCUCAAGGAAGAUAAUGACGGUACUUGAGGAGGAAGCCCCGGCUAACUACGUGCCAGCAGCCGCGGUAAUACGUAGGGGGCUAGCGUUAUCCGGAUUUACUGGGCGUAAAGGGUGCGUAGGCGGUCUUUUAAGUCAGGAGUGAAAGGCUACGGCUCAACCGUAGUAAGCUCUUGAAACUGGAGGACUUGAGUGCAGGAGAGGAGAGUGGAAUUCCUAGUGUAGCGGUGAAAUGCGUAGAUAUUAGGAGGAACACCAGUAGCGAAGGCGGCUCUCUGGACUGUAACUGACGCUGAGGCAC
RNAcentral lists this ribosomal RNA (682 nucleotides) under uncultured Clostridium sp. Its description in RNAcentral is "bacterial SSU rRNA". It matches the Rfam family "Bacterial small subunit ribosomal RNA", at positions 44 to 754 of the family's 1533-position model. The record is from RNAcentral. Lineage: Bacteria; Bacillati; Bacillota; Clostridia; Eubacteriales; Clostridiaceae.